This is a long non-coding RNA of Poecilia latipinna (sailfin molly), 1240 nucleotides long. RefSeq lists it as uncharacterized. The transcript is spliced from 3 exons. The record is from RefSeq and is a predicted model, not a curated record. NCBI's taxonomy places the organism in Eukaryota, Metazoa, Chordata, Actinopteri, Cyprinodontiformes, Poeciliidae.
UCCGUCAACAUUGCUGGGGUUUAUUACUGCUAUGCUAACAUGCAGCAGCCAUACAGAGUUUGAGGAAAAUAAUAGGAAAUUAUGGUCCAGUGUCGUCAGUGGGGAACAUGCAAUCCUGACAGUCGUUACCCAGAACGUGUAAACGGCAGAAUACAAUUUAUUGCAUUUCCUAAACCCAAACGGAGUCUGGAAUAACGCAAGAAAUGGAUCAAGGCCUGCAGUCGACCUCAAGUGCAGUUGAAUGAAGCUGUGAUUGAUGGCAGCUACCACAUGUUGUUCAUCUGCACCAAGGGACUCAGUGGUUUUGGUGACUGACGGCCAAGAGGAGCAGAUAUGAACUAGGCCAGAGUGUCCAGCUUCAGAUUUAAACGACUUCAGACGACUGAAUCACUUCCUCGUGUUCAGGUCUGCUGAUGAACGAUUCAUUUGAUUCAGGGAUUUUCCUCCUGGACGUAGUUCAACCUCAUCACUCAGUCGUAGAAGAAGAAGUUUGUAUCCAUCAGUAGACGAUGAAUUUCCCUCCAUCAGGUUUCUGCAUCCUGACAUCCAUCUUACUCUACAGAUUUCUGGGUUUUGAAGUCCUAUUAAUGCCCUGCUAAAUAAUGUAUUUUGAUGCAAGACGAUUUUAAUCUUUUAGGUUAAAGAUAUAAAUGUUUUGAGUAAUAUAUUAAGUAAUUCUGAAUGUCAUUUUAACCUAAACAUGCAUUAGAUAAAUAUUCAGAACAAUGCAGAGUAUGGUGUUGACUUAAUAUUUGAAGCUAUAUGAUUUUACAUUUCCAGAUGUUUUUUAUUCUACACCUUUCUGCCUAAUGCUGAGCGUGUCUUAACACUAAUUCCUUGUUUCCACAUCUGCAAGCGUGUUGUGAUUUGCAUGAUUAGGGCAUGCACAUGUUCUUUUCACACAAUAAAUGAAGUUAAAUGAAGGUUUCCAUGUGCACACAUAACGUCAGCUAAAUUGUUGCUGGUAUUCAUCAAGCUCAGAUAUCUGCCGUCUCCCACUCCUUUACUCUUAGCUGUCCCUCAUGUUUGAUAAAUAAGGUUGAAUUUUUCUCCUGUUCAGCGUUAAAUAUUUAAAUAUUUUUGCUUCAAACAGAUGAGUCACACAGAUUUAAUGAACAAGUGAAUGUAGAAACAAUGAAGUGGCCCUAAACUCUUUUUAAAGAUAAGGCUGUACUGUUUUGCUCUGCAGGUUUGAUUAAACGGUUUCAUGUCAUAUGAAAUUAAAGUACACAUGAUAUUG